Molecule: ribosomal RNA, 380 nt
Filed under: uncultured organism
Description: bacterial SSU rRNA
Rfam family: Bacterial small subunit ribosomal RNA
Source: RNAcentral
CGCAAUGGGCGAAAGCCUGACGGAGCGACGCCGCGUGAUUGAUGAAGUCCUUCGGGACGUAAAAAUCUUUUAUGAUUAAGAAAGUUUAUUGAUCUGAUCAUGAAUAAGGGGCUCCAAACUCUGUGCCAGCAGGAGCGGUAAUACAGAGGCCCCAAGCGUUAUCCGGAAUCACUGGGCGUAAAGGGUGUGUAGGUGGUUUUGUUAGUCUCUCGUUAAAGCUCCCGACUCAAUCGGGAAAGUGCGGGAGAUACGGCAAUACUAGAGGAUGCGAGGGGUCAGUGGAACUCAUGGAGUAGGGGUGAAAUCCGUUGAUAUUAUGGGGAACACCAAAAGCGAAGGCAACUGACUGGCGCAUUCCUGACACUGAAACACGAAAGCGU